RNAcentral lists this ribosomal RNA (477 nucleotides) under uncultured organism. Its description in RNAcentral is "partial 16S ribosomal RNA". It matches the Rfam family "Bacterial small subunit ribosomal RNA", at positions 333 to 801 of the family's 1533-position model. The record is from RNAcentral.
ACACUCCUACGGGAGGCAGCAGUGGGGAAUAUUGCACAAUGGGCGCAAGCCUGAUGCAGCCAUGCCGCGUGUAUGAAGAAGGCCUUCGGGUUGUAAAGUACUUUCAGCGGGGAGGAAGGCGAUAAGGUUAAUAACCUUGUUGAUUGACGUUACCCGCAGAAGAAGCACCGGCUAACUCCGUGCCAGCAGCCGCGGUAAUACGGAGGGUGCAAGCGUUAAUCGGAAUUACUGGGCGUAAAGCGCACGCAGGCGGUCUGUCAAGUCGGAUGUGAAAUCCCCGGGCUCAACCUGGGAACUGCAUUCGAAACUGGCAGGCUAGAGUCUUGUAGAGGGGGGUAGAAUUCCAGGUGUAGCGGUGAAAUGCGUAGAGAUCUGGAGGAAUACCGGUGGCGAAGGCGGCCCCCUGGACAAAGACUGACGCUCAGGUGCGAAAGCGUGGGGAGCAAACAGGAUUAGAUACCCGAGUAGUCCCAUGAU